Molecule: long non-coding RNA, 2241 nt
Organism: Triticum aestivum (bread wheat)
Lineage: Eukaryota; Viridiplantae; Streptophyta; Magnoliopsida; Poales; Poaceae
Exons: 4
Source: RefSeq, a predicted model, not a curated record
GGCAGUCAUCCUCACAUCUCCCCCGUUCCCCAUUUCCCCCAUCGCCAGCACCCUCCCUCCGCAGCCGGCGGUCCCAGGUUAGGCCGCCCCUUCCCUUUGUCACCAUAGCCAGCGCGAGCUUCGUAGCCACUAAUCUUCCUCCAUUUCACGUCGAAUCUGGCCACGGAAGUGGCCGAGGAGGCCCUCGAGCUCGGCAUGCUCGCGCUAGCUCUAGGCUCCGUCGGAGGCGUACGCGGAGGCGCGGGACUUGCACGCCUCUCCUCUGCCCCACUCCUUCGAAUCCAGUCGCACAAGUGCUUGAGGAGGCGCUCGAGCUUGGCAUGCUCGCCGGCGACGCCGGGCCCCUCCCUCCUCCUGAUGCCUCCCUCACCAUCGCCGCCAUGAGCCUCUCCACCCUCUCCUGCGCGAUUGUUCGGGUCCAGGUUGCUGCAUCUUCUGGUUGUGAGUGGAUCCAAGAGUUAACAUGGUGCAGUAUCUUUUCGAAAGAUGAUGUAUUUCUUCAUAUAAGAAAGUAUGUUGGAGAAGUUAUUAUUGUAGAGGAAUUCAGUCUCAUGUGAUUCUCAAGAGCUAAAAUGGAAAAAGAAGUGCAGACCUCUCAUGCCUACACUAACUAAUCAGGUAGCAUAUCCAAAUUUUUAAGAAUACUACAUUCAGAUAUGACAUUUGAAUAUAAAAACUGGCAAUUAUGUACAGUAGACAGUUCCUAAGAAUUUCUGCAUUAGCGGCUUGUAGCUUCAAUUCUUCAAUCAGCCAGUUGUUAAUUUGUUGUUCUAUAACUAAUUGAGUAAGAGAUUUUUUUCCCGGUUGGCCGGAUUAUGUGCCGAUGAUAUGAUCGCGGUGAAUAAUAUGGGUUGCCUAUGUGCUCAUGAAACUAAAAAGUCUUCAAAAGGUGGUCUUCCAAUGAAAUUUGAAAUAUAAAAAAACAUGGUAUCAGAAAAGAACGAAUAGGGGAAGAGUCAACAUGGAUGUUGUCCCGGUUUUAUCCCAUCCUGGAGCUACAAGAAGGUUGGGUGAAGUCUACAAUGGGUUCUUUUCCAAGGAAGGAGAAGGCUCAGGUGGCGCUGGUCUACAGCUAAAAGAACGUCAGCAGGUUCGCGGCGAAGCUCAUGCAGGUCGCCGUGUUGAGGAGUGAGUUCCCCUCUUGCUGCUCUGCUCUGCUCUCACAAUCAACUGAAUCCCUUUAGCUAGCAGUAAAACAACAGUUGCAAGAGCUUUUUUUAAUUGCAUGAUGCACAGUUGAUGGUCAACUAAGACAAACCCAUAGUAUAAUCGUUAAGAUCAAGUUUGUAAUUUUAGUCGGACAUGUUGUCAAUACAAGGCCUACUCACAUGGUUAAUAUACUAAUUCUUGUCACCAGAAAACCAAGAAUGGUGUACCAUGAGCAAGGAUCGACAUUAUAAAUGUAUACAAUAUUAUGUAUAAAUGGCCAAUGGCUCCAGCAACUAUAGCAAUUAAACCAUGAGCACCAGGCAAAGAGGAUAAUGAUUUUAAUUCAGCCGUUAUGUAAAAAAGAAAACAAAUAGUUAUUGAACCUAGCCUUGUUAUGGUACCUAUUCAAACUAAACAAAGUAAAUAUAGAUAGCAAAUCUACUGAAAGUAGAACGCACACAAUGCUUGAACAACUCUAGCAGUCUCUGAUAUGCCAAUCAGGAUACCUCACAAAAUAUUCUCAGAAUGCAUUGAUCAACAUCUGUGCAAAGCAAACAAAGGAUUAGUAUAUUAACCAUGUGAGUAGGCACAGAUGUUGAUCAAUGCAUUCUUUGUUUGGUUUGAGUGUGGAUAUUUAACCUCAACAGGAUAACAUCACAUUUUAUCUGCUAACCAAAGUACAACAGGGCAGAGCUUGAAUCUAACUAUUAUAAAAAAACACAAACCUAUCUAGCAUAUAUAAUUUGGCUCGGUGUAUCCAUGUUAACAACUGAUUAACUAAUAUAUUGGGAUGGGGUACCAAGUCUAAUUAGUUAUGUGAUUCCUAAUCAGGAAGCCUACUCAUGUGUGGCCACCUGUAACAUUUCUUUAAACAUGUUGCUUCAAUAAUGUCAAUUUACAAUGCAUUCCCAAUACAGAAACCGGAAUAAAAUGCAGCUUCCAUCAGGACAAAUAUAUUAACAAGUUUAAAUGUGGAUGAUGGAGGAAGUGAAAGCAACGAGAGAGGAGUGUCGGUGUCAAAACUGGCGGAUCUCGGGUAGGGGGUUCCGAUCUGUGCGUCUUAGGCUGAUGGUAACAGGAAGCAAGGGACAC